RNAcentral lists this ribosomal RNA (423 nucleotides) under uncultured bacterium. RNAcentral describes it as "bacterial SSU rRNA". It matches the Rfam family "Bacterial small subunit ribosomal RNA", at positions 207 to 622 of the family's 1533-position model. The record is from RNAcentral.
AAGACCUUGCGCUUUUGGAGCGGCCGAUGCCUGAUUAGCUUGUUGGUAAGGUAAAAGCUUACCAAGGCUUCGAUCAGUAGCUGGUCUGAGAGGACGACCAGCCACACUGGGACUGAGACACGGCCCAGACUCCUACGGGAGGCAGCAGUGGGGAAUUUUGGACAAUGGGGGCAACCCUGAUCCAGCCAUGCCGCGUGAGUGUAGAAGGCCUUCGGGUUGUAAAGCUCUUUCAGCCGGAACGAAACGGUUACGGAUAACACCCGUGACUACUGACGGUACCGGAAGAAGAAGCACCGGCUAACUACGUGCCAGCAGCCGCGGUAAUACGUAGGGUGCGAGCGUUAAUCGGAAUUACUGGGCGUAAAGCGUGCGCAGGUGGUUUUGUAAGUCAGAUGUGAAAGCCCCGGGCUCAACCUGGGAACU